UACGGGGGGGGCAAGCGUUGUUCGGAAUUACUGGGCGUAAAGGGCGCGUAGGCGGCGCGGUAAGUCACUUGUGAAAUCUCUGAGCUUAACUCAGAACGGCCAAGUGAUACUGCAGUGCUAGAGUGCAGAAAGGGCAAUCGGAAUUCUUGGUGUAGCGGUGAAAUGCGUAGAUAUCGCUUGGAACGCCGAAGGUGAAAACAGGUUGCUGGGGAUGUGCCGACGCUGAGACACGAAAGCCAGGGGAGCAAACGGG
RNAcentral lists this ribosomal RNA (253 nucleotides) under uncultured bacterium. Its description in RNAcentral is "partial 16S ribosomal RNA". It matches the Rfam family "Bacterial small subunit ribosomal RNA", at positions 524 to 776 of the family's 1533-position model. The record is from RNAcentral.